This 468-nucleotide ribosomal RNA is filed under the name uncultured bacterium. Its description in RNAcentral is "partial 16S ribosomal RNA". It matches the Rfam family "Bacterial small subunit ribosomal RNA", at positions 28 to 507 of the family's 1533-position model. The record is from RNAcentral.
GACGAACGCUGGCGGCGUGCUUAACACAUGCAAGUCGAACGGAAAGGCCCUGCUUUUGUGGGGUGCUCGAGUGGCGAACGGGUGAGUAACACGUGAGUAACCUGCCCUUGACUUUGGGAUAACUUCAGGAAACUGGGGCUAAUACCGGAUAGGAGCUCCUGCUGCAUGGUGGGGGUUGGAAAGUUUCGGCGAUUGGGGAUGGACUCGCGGCUUAUCAGCUUGUUGGUGGGGUAGUGGCUUACCAAGGCUUUGACGGGUAGCGGCACUGGGAGGGUGACCGGCAACAUUGGGACGGAGAUACGGCCCAGCCUCCUAGGGGAGGCAACAGAGAGGAAUUGUGCACAGUGGGAGGAAGCCUGAUGCAGCACCGCGACGUGGGGGAUGACGGCCAUCGAGUUGUAACCCACUUUCGCCUUUGACGAAGAGUGAGUGACGGUAAUGGGUAAGAAAGCACCGGCUAACUACGUG